Molecule: ribosomal RNA, 403 nt
Filed under: uncultured bacterium
Lineage: Bacteria
Description: bacterial SSU rRNA
Rfam family: Bacterial small subunit ribosomal RNA
Source: RNAcentral
UCGGGAAUAUUGCACAAUGGACGAAAGUCUGAUGCAGCGACGCCGUGUGAACGACGAAGUCUUUCGAGAUGUAAAGUUCUGUCGACAGGGACGAUUAUGACGGUACCUGUGGAGGAAGCACCGGCAAACUAUGUGCCAGCAGCCGCGGUAAUACAUAGGGUGCUAGCGUUAUCCGGAUUUAUUGGGCGUAAAGCGCAUGUAGGUGGUUUGUUAAGUUAGGUGUCAAAUUGUUGGGCUCAACCCAACUCCGCACUUAAUACUGACGAACUUGAGUUUAGGAGAGGAAAGGGGAACUCACAGUGUAGCGGUGAAAUGCGUAGAUUUUGUGAGGAACACCAGUGGCGAAGGCGCCUUUCUGGCCUAAAACUGACACUGAGAUGCGAAAGCGUGGGGAGCAAACAGG